Molecule: ribosomal RNA, 484 nt
Filed under: uncultured bacterium
Lineage: Bacteria
Description: partial 16S ribosomal RNA
Rfam family: Bacterial small subunit ribosomal RNA
Source: RNAcentral
AUUGAACGCUGGCGGCGUGCCUAACACAUGCAAGUCGAGCGGAUGAAGGGGGCUUUCUCCUGGAUUCAGUUGCCGGCGGGCGGGUGAUGCAUAGGAAUCUACCUGGUCUUUGAGGAUAGCGUACGGUCACGGGCGCUAAUACCGCAUCCGUUCAGAUGGUGAAAGGGGUGGAUCUUCGGAGCUCACGCUAUCUGAUGAGCCUAGGUCGGAUUAGCUAGUUGGUGGGGUAAGGGCGUACCAAGGCGGCGAUCCGUAACUGGGCUGAGAGGGUGAUCAGUCACACUGGAACUGAGACACGGUCCAGACUCCUACGGGAGGCAGCAGUGGGGAAUAUUGGACAAUGGGCGAAAGCCUGAUGCAGCCAUGCCGCGUGAGUGAAGAAGGUCUUCGGAUUGUAAAGCACUUUUAGUUGGGAGGAAGGUAAGUAUGUGAAUCCCUGCCUGUCUUGACGUUACCAACAGAAAAAGCACCGGCUAACUUCGUG